CGGGUUUAUCUAAUAGGUAGAAUUUUCAUUUACAUUGAAAUAUUGAUUGUGCAAUUCAAUCGGAUCUGA
RNAcentral lists this transfer RNA (69 nucleotides) under Margattea bisignata. RNAcentral's name for it is "tRNA-Val". The record is from RNAcentral. Lineage: Eukaryota; Metazoa; Arthropoda; Insecta; Blattodea; Pseudophyllodromiidae.